Molecule: long non-coding RNA, 1802 nt
Filed under: Ovis aries (sheep)
Lineage: Eukaryota; Metazoa; Chordata; Mammalia; Artiodactyla; Bovidae
Description: lncRNA (ENSOARG00000026201.1)
Source: RNAcentral
AUGAAUGACGGGAGCCAGCUUCAGCCGACAAUGAGAAGAAUCACUAAAUACAGUCAACAUGGAAUUCAGUUAAUGAAGAGGGCAAUCGCUUCUGUUCUGUAUAUGAUCAUAAUAUCUUCUGGCUAUAGGUUACCUGUAAUAAGAAAUAGUAGAAAGAGAAGAAACGGAAGAAGGGUGGGAGAAAAGAAAGUGAGGAGAGGAGGAGAGAAAAGCAGAGAGGAUACGACAGGGGAAGAUAAGUUUCUGUCAGUCUCUGUGAAGAGUAGAGUACCUCUGCUGACCUGUGAUGGAAAAGUAGCAGUGAGUAAGAAUUAAAUGUGGAUUCUUCACCCACUGAGCUACCUGAGGAGGCCACGUUAGAGUACCCCCCUUGCGAUAUUAAGGCUGUAGUGUACUAAACGCCAUCCCAAUGAAAGUCUUAAUGAUCUUUAGUGAGUAUCUUGCAUACGGGGAGAAUAUGGCACCAAAUGCUUUUGAUAUCUGCUGAGCCUCUUUUAAGGAUGGACCUAGAUAAGCUUGAUGUAUUUCUCAUUUGAAUAUUCCACAUAUCAUGCAUUUAUAGUUCCCUCAUGUACCACCUUACUGUUAGAGCAGGAUUUGUGAAUUUCCCAGAACAUGUUAGACGUCAGAUCUUUCACUGUAAUACUUACACCUAAUAUACUGUGGUGGUGGAGUGACAAUUCUAAGAGCUCUUCAUCUUAACUGUGCAUAGGACAAUGCUAAAGAAGAGAAAUAACCGAAUGCCUCUAGGGUCUAUGAAUGUUUUCCUAAUAGCUUUUGAAACUCAAUAUACUAUGUUUUAUUGGUAACUAAUUUUAAUGGAACUAUGUGAAGUGCUGAACUAAAUAAUCGACAAUGUAUAUAUGCUUGUUGUUGUAAAUUAAGUUUGAAAAUAGUUAAUAAUGGGCUUCAUGCAUUUAGCAUUGCAUUAAGACACUUCUAAAAUGGGCUUUUAAGAUGCUUAGGUAUUUAAGACAACAUAAUGCAGGCUAAUAGGGCACAAAAACAUGCAUAAUUGAUACAUUUGUGUAUACUCAGAGUCAUUCUCUGGAAAAAUAUAGUUCAUUUUUGAAAAUAUUGUUAUCCUUGCUUAAAUGUGAAAGUAGAUAUUCUUUGAAUAGACUUUUUAUUGUUUAUUUCCUCUGGAUGGCUUUAAGAAUAAAUUAAUUUAUUGCUUAAAAAAGGGUAUAUAGGAGGCGGUCCUAAGAUGGUGGAGGAAUAGUAUGGGAAGACCACUUUCUCCCUCACAAAUUCCUCAAAAGAACAUUUCAACGCUGAGCAAACUCCACAAAACAACUUCUGAAUGCUGGCAGAGGACAUCAGGCAACCAGAAAAGCAGACCAUUGUCUUCAAAAACAGGUAGGAAAAAAUAUAAAAGACGAAAAAAGAGACAAAGGAGGUGGGGAGGGAGCUCCAUACUGGGAAGGGAAGCCCGUCCCGGGAAGGGAAUUUUAAGAAGAGAGGUUUCCAAACACCAGGAAACACUCUCCCUGCCAAGUCUGAGGCGAGCCUUGGAAACACAGAGGGCAACAUAACAGGAAGGAAAAAUAAAUAAAUGAUUAAAACCAACAGAUUACAAGCCCAACAGUAACUCCCCCAGCAGAAAAGCAGCACAGACGCCUGCAUCCACCACUAGCAAGUGGGGGCAGGGCAGGGAAGCUCGGGAGGUGCGGGCUGCAGAGCUUUGUAAGAAUCAGGCAGGAACGCCCCACGCGCAACCAGAACGAUCUAACUUGGGCUAGCAAACCAGACUGUGGGAUAGCUACCACGCGAAAAGCUCGAACAUAAGACACCGCCAGGAC